UCCCUGGUGGUCUACUCGUUAGGAUUCAGCACUUUCAUUGCUGUGGCCUGGGUUCAGUUCCUGGUUGGGGAA
Ovis aries (sheep) is the source of this 72-nucleotide transfer RNA. It matches the Rfam family "tRNA". Rfam says of the family: Transfer RNA (tRNA) molecules are approximately 80 nucleotides in length. Their secondary structure includes four short double-helical elements and three loops (D, anti-codon, and T loops). Further hydrogen bonds mediate the characteristic L-shaped molecular structure. tRNAs have two regions of fundamental functional importance: the anti-codon, which is responsible for specific mRNA codon recognition, and the 3' end, to which the tRNAs corresponding amino acid is attached (by aminoacyl-tRNA synthetases). tRNAs cope with the degeneracy of the genetic code in two manners: having more than one tRNA (with a specific anti-codon) for a particular amino acid; and 'wobble' base-pairing, i.e. permitting non-standard base-pairing at the 3rd anti-codon position. The record is from Rfam. Lineage: Eukaryota; Metazoa; Chordata; Mammalia; Artiodactyla; Bovidae.